AGCUCCAAUAGCGUAUAUUAAAGUUGUUGCGGUUAAAAAGCUCGUAGUUGGAUUUCUGUCAGUGAGUUGCAGUCCGCCCACAGCGGUUGGUACUUGCUACGCCACUGGCAUCUUCCUGGGGAAUGUGUCUGCUCUUUAUUGAGUGGCGCACAAUCCAGGACUUUUACUUUGAAGAAAUGAGAGUGUUUCAAGCAGGCAUGCGCCGUGAAUACGUUAGCAUGGGAUAAUAGCAUCGGACCUCGUUCCAAAGCUGUUGGUUUCUUGGACCGAGGUAAAGGUGAAUAGGGAUUGUUGGGGGCAUUCGUAUUUGACUGUCAGAGGUGAAAUUCUUGGAUUUGUUGAAGACGGACUACUGCGAAAGCAUCUGCCAAAGAUGUUCUCA
This 382-nucleotide ribosomal RNA is filed under the name uncultured eukaryote. Its description in RNAcentral is "SSU rRNA". It matches the Rfam family "Eukaryotic small subunit ribosomal RNA", at positions 587 to 972 of the family's 1831-position model. The record is from RNAcentral.